UCUCAACUGGAAUUCUUGCCAUUUAGACCUGAUAUAUAAAACAUAUCUUCAUCACCCACUGCCUAUAUCUCCAAGAAAAUUAUAUAGAUUUAUAAUUUUGAAAGGGAAAUUUUUUUUUUUCCUUUUUUAGAUAUUAGGGAAGAGUUUAUGCUGUAGCCAAAAUUAUGAAGUUGAAGAUGCAAAUUGGAUAUAUUCCUUUCUUUUUCUUUCCUUUUCAUAUGUUAUUGAUUAAUUAUGAUAUUGAAUGGUUAACAAUUGUCG
RNAcentral lists this unclassified non-coding RNA (261 nucleotides) under Hevea brasiliensis (rubber tree). Lineage: Eukaryota; Viridiplantae; Streptophyta; Magnoliopsida; Malpighiales; Euphorbiaceae. The record is from RNAcentral.